GGCAUAGUGGCCAAGUGGUAAGGUGUUGGUCUUGUAAACUGAACAUCAUGGGUUCAAAUCCUUUCUGUGCCU
Molecule: non-coding RNA, 72 nt
Organism: Salmo salar (Atlantic salmon)
Lineage: Eukaryota; Metazoa; Chordata; Actinopteri; Salmoniformes; Salmonidae
Source: Rfam